This 290-nucleotide long non-coding RNA is filed under the name Manihot esculenta (cassava). RNAcentral describes it as "long non-coding RNA (MESC_LNC003166)". Lineage: Eukaryota; Viridiplantae; Streptophyta; Magnoliopsida; Malpighiales; Euphorbiaceae. The record is from RNAcentral.
UGGAAUAUCUUAUUUUGUUUCAAAGUAAAUAAAUAAAUUCUAAGCAUGAUACACGCAUCAUGAAUGCCAUGAGAUAUACUAGGGUGCUUGCAUUAGAAUUCACGAAUAUGUUGCAUUGCAUAAUAUGUUGUUGAUGUGGGUGAAUGUUGGAUGAUCCUUUAGCCGCACUACGUUAUGAUAUGAUGUGAUACGGUAUGGAAGACCAGUGAGGCCCAUUCUACGCCCCUGGCACUAUGUAAGAGAAAGACCAGUGAGGCCCAUUCUACGCCCCUGGCAUAUUGGAAUGUUAU